UACGUAGGGUGCGAGCGUUAAUCGGAAUUACUGGGCGUAAAGCGUGCGCAGGCGGUUCGCUGUGUCCGAUGUGAAAGCCCCCGGGCUUAACCUGGGAAUGGCAUUGGAAACUGGCGGGCUUGAGUGUGGCAGAGGGGGGGUGGAAUUCCGCGUGUAGCAGUGAAAUGCGUAGAGAUGCGGAGGAACACCGAUGGCGAAGGGCAGCCCCCCUGGGCUAACACUGACGCUCAGGCACGAAAGCUAGGGGAGCAAACAGG
This 257-nucleotide ribosomal RNA is filed under the name uncultured bacterium. RNAcentral's name for it is "partial 16S ribosomal RNA". It matches the Rfam family "Bacterial small subunit ribosomal RNA", at positions 524 to 776 of the family's 1533-position model. The record is from RNAcentral.